AUACUGUUGGGCUAGAGUGCAGUAGAGGGAGGUGGAAUCCCGGUGUAGUGGUGAAAUGCGUAGAUAUCGGGAGGAACACCAGUAGCGAAGGCGGCCUCCUGGGCUGUUACUGACGCUGAGGCCCGAAAGCGUGGGGAGCGAACAGGAUUAGAUACCCUGGUAGUCCACGCUGUAAACCAUGGAUACUAGGUAUGGGGAGUAUCGACCCUCUCCGUGCCGAAGCUAACGCUUUAAGUAUCCCGCCUGGGAACUACGGUCGCAAGACUAAAACUCAAAGGAAUUGACGGGGGCCCGCACAAGCAGCGGAGCGUGUGGUUUAAUUCGAUGCAACGCGAAGAACCUUACCAAGGCUUGACAUGUCGGUAGUAGUGACCCGAAAGGGAAGCGACCUGUUAAGUCAGGAACCGGCACAGGUGCUGCAUGGCUGUCGUCAGCUCGUGCCGUGGGGUGUUAGGUUAAGUCCUGUAACGAGCGCAACCCUCGUUGCCAGUUAAUUUCUCUGGCGAGACUGCCCCGCAAAACGGGGAGGAAGGUGGGGAUGACGUCAAGUCAGCACGGCCCUUAUGCCUUGGGCUACACACACGCUACAAUGGGUGGUACAAAGGGUAGCAAGGGAGUGAUCCGGAGCUAAUCCUAAAAACCAUCCUCAGUUCAGAUUGCAGGCUGAAACCCGCCUGCAUGAAGUCGGAGUUGCUAGUAACCGCAUAUCAGCAUGGUGCGGUGAAUACGUUCUCGGGCCUUGUACACACCGCCCGUCACGUCAUGAAAGUCGGCAAUACCUGAAGUCGAUGGGCUAACCC
This 800-nucleotide ribosomal RNA is filed under the name uncultured Chloroflexota bacterium. RNAcentral's name for it is "bacterial SSU rRNA". It matches the Rfam family "Bacterial small subunit ribosomal RNA", at positions 630 to 1441 of the family's 1533-position model. Lineage: Bacteria; Bacillati; Chloroflexota. The record is from RNAcentral.